Molecule: ribosomal RNA, 551 nt
Filed under: uncultured fungus
Lineage: Eukaryota; Fungi
Description: eukaryotic LSU rRNA
Rfam family: 5.8S ribosomal RNA (bases 198-348)
Source: RNAcentral
CUUGGUCAUUUAGAGGAGUAAAAGUCGUAACAAGGUUUCCGUAGGUGAACCUGCGGAAGGAUCAUUAAGAAUUUAGGCUUUACCGCCAUAUUCUCACCCUUUGUAUACUAUACCUUGUUGCCUUGGCAGGCUGUUACAGGCCUGCCAGUGGACUCAAACCCUAGAUCUCUGCUGUCUGAGUACUAUAUAAUAGUCAAAACUUUCAACAACGGACUCGUGGUUCUGGCAUCGAUGAAGAACGCAGCGAAAUGCGAUAAGUAAUUGAGUUGCAGAAUUCAGUGAAUCAUCGAAUCUUUGAACGCACAUUGCGCCUCUGGUAUUCCAGGGGGCAUGCCUGUUCGAGCGUCAUUACAACCCUCAGCUCUGCGUGGUACUGGGCUCGCCCUCUAGGGCCUGCCUCAAAGUCAGUGCGGCACUGUCUGACCCCUAAGCGUAGUAAUACACCUCGCUUUUGGACGUAGACGGAGGCCUGCCAUGAACCCCCACUCUAUAGGUUGACCUCGGAUCGGUAGGGAUACCCGCUGAACUUAAGCAUAUCAAUAAGCGGAGGA